This 241-nucleotide long non-coding RNA is filed under the name Lathyrus oleraceus (garden pea). RNAcentral's name for it is "Pisum sativum (pea) long non-coding RNA (PSAT_LNC000971)". Lineage: Eukaryota; Viridiplantae; Streptophyta; Magnoliopsida; Fabales; Fabaceae. The record is from RNAcentral.
AAAACUGACACAACGUGCGCAAGACACGACUCUGAUUAGGGGAUAACAGAAAUCGGACUGGAGACCUCACUGGGGAAGUGAAAGGACUCACACUGGGGAACAAAAGAUUCCAAAGGACAAACCUCCAUUGGAAAGACAACAAGCUGACUCAAACUAUCCACAAAGGAUACUUCGGAUAAAAAUCCGGACUCGGACCAGGAAAAGAUCCACAAAGAAUCUCCCUGCCGGGAAAAUGCAUAUA